AUACUUACCUGGCGUAGGGGACACCGUGAUCAACAAGGCGGUUCCCCCAGGGCGAGGCCUGUCCAUUGCACUGCGGACGGGUUGACCCUUGCGAUUACCCCUAAUGUGGGUAACUCGGACGCGUAAUUUUUGGUAGUGGGGACUGCGUUCGCGCCGUCCCCC
Molecule: small nuclear RNA, 162 nt
Filed under: Manduca sexta (tobacco hornworm)
Lineage: Eukaryota; Metazoa; Arthropoda; Insecta; Lepidoptera; Sphingidae
Description: U1 spliceosomal RNA
Rfam family: U1 spliceosomal RNA
About the family: U1 is a small nuclear RNA (snRNA) component of the spliceosome (involved in pre-mRNA splicing). Its 5' end forms complementary base pairs with the 5' splice junction, thus defining the 5' donor site of an intron.
Source: Rfam by way of RNAcentral